Molecule: ribosomal RNA, 492 nt
Filed under: uncultured bacterium
Lineage: Bacteria
Description: partial 16S ribosomal RNA
Rfam family: Bacterial small subunit ribosomal RNA
Source: RNAcentral
AGUGAACGCUGGCGGUAGGCCUAACACAUGCAAGUCGAACGGCAGCACAGUAAGAGCUUGCUCUUACGGGUGGCGAGUGGCGGACGGGUGAGGAAUACAUCGGAAUCUACUUUUUCGUGGGGGAUAACGUAGGGAAACUUACGCUAAUACCGCAUACGACCUACGGGUGAAAGCAGGGGAUCUUCGGACCUUGCGCGAUUGAAUGCGCCGAUGUCGGAUUAGCUAGUUGGCGGGGUAAAGGCCCACCAAGUCGACGAUCCGUAGCUGGUCUGAGAGGAUGAUCAGCCACACUGGAACUGAGACACGGUCCAGACUCCUACGGGAGGCAGCAGUGGGGAAUAUUGGACAAUGGGCGCAAGCCUGAUCCAGCCAUACCGCGUGGGUGAAGAAGGCCUUCGGGUUGUAAAGCCCUUUUGUUGGGAAAGAAAAGCAGCAGGUUAAUACCCCGCUGUUCUGACGGUACCCAAAGAAUAAGCACCGGCUAACUUCGUG